GAAUGCCUUAGUGCGCUCCCAGAGGGUCUCCCGACCCGAAAGAGAAAGCCGUCUUGAGAGGCUACGGGGGAAUCUCAAUAUUGCCUGACGCUUACGAAUCAGCAGAGGGAGAGCUCCUGAGAAAGUCAAAUCCGGAAAGUCACCGGAGUUCUUAGGGAAGAACCUGCCUAGAAAAAGAAAACGGGAAGACCUUGAUGAUUUUGCCGCAACAAGAACAAACAAGGAAAAUUGGAGGUAGCAGUGGUCUCCCAUUUGACCCUCGGAGGCAAGAAGCAAUAUGAUUAGAAGAGGCUCCUGCAAAGGGGAGAUAAAAGCGAUCGCGCUGAGGAAGACAGCCUGGAAGAGCUCAGGGGAGAAGGCUGCUGUCCUGGAAGCUGAUAGUCCCAUUCAGGAAGAGUGCCGGCAGUUCGUCAGUCAGACAGCUGGUAGCGACUAGACCUUGUGGGAUUUCAGCUUCAGACAAAGCAAACAAGGAUCGCGGAGUGUUGAGAAGCUAUCUGGAGCUGUAUACAAGGACGAUCGUAGCUGCUGGCUUCUAAUUACCUGGCUCUUUGCUGUCAUUAAACUAUCAUUACACAUCCAAA
Molecule: long non-coding RNA, 584 nt
Organism: Ornithorhynchus anatinus (platypus)
Lineage: Eukaryota; Metazoa; Chordata; Mammalia; Monotremata; Ornithorhynchidae
Exons: 3
Source: RefSeq, a predicted model, not a curated record